This 535-nucleotide ribosomal RNA is filed under the name uncultured bacterium. RNAcentral's name for it is "bacterial SSU rRNA". It matches the Rfam family "Bacterial small subunit ribosomal RNA", at positions 802 to 1340 of the family's 1533-position model. The record is from RNAcentral.
GUAAACGAUGAAUACUAGGUGUGGGAGGACUGACCCCUUCCGUGCCGCAGUUAACACAAUAAGUAUUCCACCUGGGGAGUACGACCGCAAGGUUGAAACUCAAAGGAAUUGACGGGGGCCCGCACAAGCAGUGGAUUAUGUGGUUUAAUUCGACGCAACGCGAAGAACCUUACCAGGAUUUGACAUCCAACUAACGAAGUAGAGAUACAUUAGGUGCCCUUCGGGGAAAGUUGAGACAGGUGGUGCAUGGUUGUCGUCAGCUCGUGUCGUGAGAUGUUGGGUUAAGUCCCGCAACGAGCGCAACCCCUAUUGUUAGUUGCUACGAAAGAGCACUCUAGCGAGACUGCCGUUGACAAAACGGAGGAAGGCGGGGACGACGUCAAAUCAUCAUGCCCCUUAUAUCCUGGGCUACACACGUAAUACAAUGGUCGUCAACAAAGGGAAGCAAUACCGCGAGGUGGAGCAAAUCCCCAAAAACGAUCUCAGUUCGGAUUGCAGGCUGCAACUCGCCUGCAUGAAGCUGGAAUUGCUAGUA